This 312-nucleotide unclassified non-coding RNA is filed under the name Hevea brasiliensis (rubber tree). The record is from RNAcentral. Lineage: Eukaryota; Viridiplantae; Streptophyta; Magnoliopsida; Malpighiales; Euphorbiaceae.
GCAUGUUACAACCCCAUGAAAAAAAAGAGAAAACAAAAUCAAUAACCAAAACCCAAAAAUGAAAUGUUUAUAUUAAGAAAGCUAUAGUGGAUCAUAACAUUAUAUUGAUGAAUUAUCCCUUGUAUAGAUGUAGAUUACUACAUUACUGUGAAAUUUAUGCUUCAAAUUUCAAACUUAAUUUUAAAUUCAAUAAUCCGUUAUUUGUCAAAUUCAAGGAAUGACUGAUUAAACAUCGUGUGAGUAAAUUUUUAUCUGAUCAUAUUUAAGUUUAUUGCUUGAAUUCUGCAGCUACAGCUUGGAAUUUUUUUUUUU